CUUACCAGUGCCAUUGAAAAGAUGUAGUAUUUUUUCAGUAGAAAAAGCUGGUAUAUCCAUGAUGACGAUGUUAUUUGCUUUUUGAUAGUUAAACAAAGAUCUGUCUUUUCUUGAAGUUCCUUUUUUUUAUCUCUAAAAUGAUUACACUUGCACAUAAUUUUCCUGUUAUAGAGUACAGUUUGAAAUUUCUGUAAGGUCAUUCUUCGUGGUCCAUUAUCUCCUCUGAACAAGUACUCUCAGGAUCUGAGACUGAGUUCUUUGGGUGCAUAACAGUAGCUUGUUAACAUUCACAUUCUUUAUAUAACUGCUAGCUUCAUUUGAAAUGUUUCAUACAAAAUCAUUGUGCUUAUUGCAGUUAUGGAAUGUUUUUCCAUAUUUGGACUGCAGGAAAGUCCUCCACAGUGGGAAAAUGGGCCUCCAUAGCUGCAGGUUUAUCAAUGACUUUGUUUGCUUCCCAUUGGACUUAUUUUUCUUAUGUUGAUCUUGCACUUGUUUGUAGUUCCAUGAUUUACCUGCUUGCACUACAGGGCUUCAUAUAUUUUUGCUUGAGAUGUCUUCAUCACUCUUGCAAAGUUGAAUAAUUCUUCCACAGCAUGAUGUCUAACUGUUGGUGAUGAUGUGUUUUGCACUACUUACAACUUUAUUCCUCAAUGUGGAUCACUAAAUUCACAAGUCUAGUAUGGUAUGUAUAAGGUUUCUUAGUCUAUUAGAUGACAAUGCCUAAACACACAUUUCUUACUCAAGGUUGUUGCCUUUAUUGAAUUAGGGAUAUGGUGAUAAUUUUGUGGAUGAUUUGGCCAUAUUACUGAUUUUGAAAACGAGUCUUUUAUUAUCUUAAAGUUUUCUUUCUUGCUCACGUUGCUUCACAUUUGAAAGUUUUUCUAGGAUCCCUUCCUCAUUGCCAGUUAUACUGUUUCAUUAGUCUGUUAUAACAUGGCUCAAAUACUCUUAGAAUAAAGAUUGGAUAGUUUUUAUUUCUCACUACUGUUUUACGAAGAUAAAUUCCACUCUCUUUCCUUAUCUAUCCCUUAUACUCCUUUUCCAUGUGACCACUCCCAUAUAAAUACACCAAUCAAAUGAAAGAAAUCAGAAAGAAUAGCUGUAUCACUUUUAUUACAACUAGCUUUUUAAAUUAAUCUAAAAAAAUGACUUGUCUUUGUUUAUAAGAAAAUAGGAAAUUUAAUAGUUAAUAUUUCUCAUUGAAUAUUAUAUCAAAACUGAAAAUACUGAAUUGGCAGUGUAUCUGACCAAGGAAUUGUGUAUUUUAGUUGUGUAGUGUUAAUGGGUAGAAAUCUCAUUCAGUAAAUAAAAAAGUAUAACUGCUGUGGAAAGCACUGACCCACAUAAUUUAUGUAAAUGAACUUCUGCAGAUAACUGGAGCAUUAAAGGAAAGAGAAGGAACACAACGGGAACUGGAAGACUGCGUCAUCUUAAAAAAGUUUGGCAGAGGUUUAGGAAUGGGUUCAAAGAAGGAAUAAAACCUAAAACGUUGAAACGUGUGGCUUCUGCAUCAGCACCGACUUCAGCUUAAGAUGAAUUAUAUGUACAGUUGGCUGUUUGUCAAAUAAAGCAGAACUUCCUUAAACCUUGUAAUGACUUGUACUAAGAUGUAUAUGUAUUAUUAGCAGUUAGUACAUAUUAUAAAGACAGAUGGAACAACU
Limulus polyphemus (Atlantic horseshoe crab) is the source of this 1661-nucleotide long non-coding RNA. RefSeq lists it as uncharacterized. Lineage: Eukaryota; Metazoa; Arthropoda; Merostomata; Xiphosura; Limulidae. The transcript has 2 exons. The record is from RefSeq and is a predicted model, not a curated record.